Molecule: ribosomal RNA, 508 nt
Filed under: uncultured Glomeraceae
Lineage: Eukaryota; Fungi; Glomeromycota; Glomeromycetes; Glomerales; Glomeraceae
Description: SSU rRNA
Rfam family: Eukaryotic small subunit ribosomal RNA
Source: RNAcentral
AGCAGCCGCGGUAAUUCCAGCUCCAAUAGCGUAUAUUAAAGUUGUUGCAGUUAAAAAGCUCGUAGUUGAAUUUCGGGAUCAGACUGUCGGUCGUGCCUCGGUACGCACUGGCAUUAUUGGUUCCUACCUUCUGAAGAACCGCGAUGUCAUUAAUUUGGUGUCGCGGGGAAUCAGGACUGUUACUUUAGAAAAAUUAGAGUGUUUAAAGCAGGCUUACGCUUGAAUACAUUAGCAUGGAAUAAUGAAAUAGGACGUUUGAUUCUAUUUUGUUGGUUUCUAGAAUUGACGUAAUGAUUAAUAGGGAUAGUUGGGGGCAUUAGUAUUCAAUUGUCAGAGGUGAAAUUCUUGGAUUUAUUGAAGACUAACUACUGCGAAAGCAUUUGCCAAGGAUGUUUUCAUUAAUCAAGAACGAAAGUUAGGGGAUCGAAGACGAUCAGAUACCGUCGUAGUCUUAACCAUAAACUAUGCCGACUAGGGAUCGGGAUGAUGUUAAUUUUUAAUGUACUCA